This 275-nucleotide ribosomal RNA is filed under the name uncultured bacterium. RNAcentral describes it as "partial 16S ribosomal RNA". It matches the Rfam family "Bacterial small subunit ribosomal RNA", at positions 399 to 691 of the family's 1533-position model. The record is from RNAcentral.
GCGUGAGUGAUGAAGGCCUUAGGGUUGUAAAGCUCUUUCACCGGGGAAGAUAAUGACGGUACCCGGAGAAGAAGCCCCGGCUAACUCCGUGCCAGCAGCCGCGGUAAUACGGAGGGGGCUAGCGUUGUUCGGAAUUACUGGGCGUAAAGCGCGCGUAGGCGGCUUGACAAGUUGGAGGUGAAAGCCCGGAGCUCAACUUCGGAAUUGCCUUCAAGACUGUCUCGCUCGAGGCAGGGAGAGGAGAGCGGAAUACCCAGUGUAGAGGUGAAAUUCGU